RNAcentral lists this ribosomal RNA (1342 nucleotides) under Bulimina marginata. RNAcentral's name for it is "SSU rRNA". It matches the Rfam family "Eukaryotic small subunit ribosomal RNA", at positions 36 to 618 of the family's 1831-position model. The record is from RNAcentral. Lineage: Eukaryota; Foraminifera; Rotaliida; Buliminidae.
CUCAAAGAUUAAGCCAUGCAAGUGGUUAUAUUAACCCGACAGUUUAAAUAAGUGUUAAAUGCUACAUUACACUCUCACGCACACACACACACACACACACACGAGAUUCGUUACGGUAGUAACAAUUUCAGCGUGAAUCACCUUUACACAGUGAAUCACUGAAAUUACCCAUUCAGUAUCACUUACGCAACUGCAGACAGCUGCUUAAUACAGUCACACUUGUCUUGACUUGGCGUCAUUUCAAACAGGAGAGAGAAUUUAUUUUUUCCCGCCUGCUUUGAAUUGCAUACUAUCACACAUGCUGAUUGUUGCAAUCAUUCGAUUUCUCUGUAUCGCUUAUUCUCAAAGGACAUGCGUUACACCGUGACAAUUUUCUUUUAUGGAUAACUCAGGGAAAGUUUGGCUAAUACGUACGAGUAUCACACACACACACACACUCGCACACAUUUUAUGAUUCGCUCUCACGUGGCGACGUAUCUUUUUCUCUCACACACACUACACCCCGAAUCGAUUACRUACCGCGAGAGAUCACACAGUGUUUCAUUUUUUAUGUGUCUGCAACACAUCAACUACUCARCACUCAAUGGUAAACUUUGGCCGCGUUCGCGCAGUCAGUUUAAAGUUUAACUGCAACAUGAGAGACAUUGAGCACGCACGUGUCGUGACUUCGGUCACUUCACAUCACGCUGAGCAGACUUUGCGAAGUUUACUUUGCGAAGCAUGUCAUACAAGCAUCUACAGCAUCAAGUCACAGGGUUGGCAAGUGUAUUUUUGAACCUUCAAAGCAGUCACGCAUACGGAAGAGUAGUUUCUGAUCCCAUAGAAGGAGCACCGUACAAUGAGAGACCGCUCUUAGUUCUAAGGAACGCAGCAGGCGCGUAAAUUGCCCAAUGCUAGUACCCUACAAUUUAUUAUCAUUUUGUAUUACUAUUGCGUUAUACAACAAUUUACAACACACACACACUAGAUGUGAUGUAAUAUAUAUAGCACUAUAUUUUAAUUCUGUCACCUACACACAGAAAUACAUCCUUGUUCGUUGUUUUUUUUCACGUAACGCAAAAAGUCAAUUUCUUGAUUUUAUGUUUUUACUGAGGCAGUGGCAAGCUGUAACGGUUGAGUAUAAAAAUGACGAGUGUCUGGCAUUGCCGCUCUUUCGGGAGCUUGGCAAGUUGCCGACGCUUUGUGUGCUCAAUUGGAAUGCGGUGAGUUUAAGCAACUCAGAACCUUUGGACGGUGUUAGUAAAAUUUCACUGUUCACGUAUCUGAAUUUCAAGUGGAGGGCAAGUCUGGUGCCAGCAGCCGCGGUAAUACCAGCUCCACUGGCCUAUACAAUCAUUGUUGC